This 515-nucleotide ribosomal RNA is filed under the name uncultured bacterium. RNAcentral's name for it is "partial 16S ribosomal RNA". It matches the Rfam family "Bacterial small subunit ribosomal RNA", at positions 28 to 523 of the family's 1533-position model. The record is from RNAcentral.
GAUGAACGCUGGCGGCGUGCCUAAUACAUGCAAGUCGAGCGAAUGGAUUAAGAGCUUGCUCUUAUGAAGUUAGCGGCGGACGGGUGAGUAACACGUGGGUAACCUGCCCAUAAGACUGGGAUAACUCCGGGAAACCGGGGCUAAUACCGGAUAACAUUUUGAACCGCAUGGUUCGAAAUUGAAAGGCGGCUUCGGCUGCAACUUAUGGAUGGACCCGCGUCGCAUUAGCUAGUUGGGGAGGUAACGGCUCACCAAGGCAACGAUGCGUAGCCGACCUGAGAGGGUGAUCGGCCACACUGGGACUGAGACACGGCCCAGACUCCUACGGGAGGCAGCAGUAGGGAAUCUUCCGCAAUGGACGAAAGUCUGACGGAGCAACGCCGCGUGAGUGAUGAAGGCUUUCGGGUCGUAAAACUCUGUUGUUAGGGAAGAACAAGUGCUAGUUGAAUAAGCUGGCACCUUGACGGUACCUAACCAGAAAGCCACGGCUAACUACGUGCCAGCCGCCGCUGUAA